UACAGAGGGGGCAAGCGUUAUUCGGAAUUAUUGGGCGUAAAGGGCGCGUAGGCGGCUUGGCAAGUGAUGGUGAAAUCCCUCGGCUUAACCGAGGAACUGCCGUCCAAACUGCUUUGCUUGAGACCGGGAGAGGUGAGUGGAAUUCCCAGUGUAGCGGUGAAAUGCGUAGAUAUUGGGAGGAACACCAGUGGCGAAGGCGGCUCACUGGUCCGGUACUGACGCUGAGGUGCGAAAGCGUGGGGAGCAAACAGG
This 252-nucleotide ribosomal RNA is filed under the name uncultured bacterium. RNAcentral describes it as "partial 16S ribosomal RNA". It matches the Rfam family "Bacterial small subunit ribosomal RNA", at positions 524 to 776 of the family's 1533-position model. The record is from RNAcentral.